RNAcentral lists this transfer RNA (87 nucleotides) under Candidatus Peregrinibacteria bacterium. Its description in RNAcentral is "tRNA-Leu". It matches the Rfam family "tRNA". From Rfam's summary of the family: Transfer RNA (tRNA) molecules are approximately 80 nucleotides in length. Their secondary structure includes four short double-helical elements and three loops (D, anti-codon, and T loops). The record is from RNAcentral. Lineage: Bacteria; Candidatus Peregrinibacteriota.
GCCGAAGUGGCGGAAUUGGUAGACGCGCACGAUUCAGGUUCGUGUGAGCGCAAGCUUGUGAGAGUUCGAGUCUCUCCUUCGGCACCA